GGGGGAUUUCUUUUUUUUUGUUGUAAUUUUUGCUGAAUUUGAGGGGGUGGUAGUGGCGCUAGUCAGUGGGGGGAGAUGCUGGACCUUGGGUUUUGGACAGUGGUUGCGCAUGUAUUGCCAAUGUUCCUGGGAAGACAUUGAGAAACACGUAACAACAAAAACAGUUCUUAGUAACUGGGAGGACGAGAUAGGAAAUAAUCUGAGCGAGCAUUGUCCAGGUAUUGAUAAUGUUUUGUUUUUUUCUCGUCGUAACGUGCUGUAAACGAGGCCAUCAUUACUUGGCAUGCCCACCUGUGACUGGCAGAUGGUCGGUUGACAAGACCUCCAUCGAGAAAGAAGUGGGUUCAAAAAACCAUCAUUACAAUACGCAAACACUCGCACAGCGACCUGUCGACGACGGAGGCGGCUCCCGCCGCUCCAGGUGGGAAAAACCAAAAACAGAACCAGCCACCGCAACGAGCCCACCUUGUGACGUUGCACAUAAACGCGGCCCAGACCAGACGGCCUUUGAAGGAAAGUGAGGCUCAGCUAUUUCAGCCUUAUCCAAUGUGAUCCGGCUCUUUAUCUCUCACAGGGAAAAUGGAGUCUCGCACCGACCGAAAAAGAAAAACAAAAUUCGUGCGUACAGACGUUCUCAUUUUUUUUUUUUUUGAAGCUUCUUGUCCCCCAUAUUUCAGACGAGCGUCUGGACUGAAAUGAAAAUAAGAACGAAAAUGUCUUCAUAUAAAAGCGAGAGAUCGUGACUGCUGGAUUGUGAUGGGCCACUGCAUAACACGAGUAAAAGAAAUACAGACAUUUUGCUAAUA
Molecule: long non-coding RNA, 806 nt
Organism: Daphnia magna
Lineage: Eukaryota; Metazoa; Arthropoda; Branchiopoda; Diplostraca; Daphniidae
Exons: 2
Source: RefSeq, a predicted model, not a curated record